Molecule: ribosomal RNA, 429 nt
Filed under: Bacteroidota bacterium
Lineage: Bacteria; Pseudomonadati; Bacteroidota
Description: Bacteroidetes bacterium partial 16S ribosomal RNA
Rfam family: Bacterial small subunit ribosomal RNA
Source: RNAcentral
UAGGGAAUCUUCCGCAAUGGACGCAAGUCUGACGGAGCAACGCCGCGUGAGUGAAGAAGGAUUUCGGUUCGUAAAACUCUGUUGUUAGAGAAGAACAGCGCAUAGAGUAACUGUUAUGCGUGUGACGGUAUCUAACCAGAAAGCCACGGCUAACUACGUGCCAGCAGCCGCGGUAAUACGUAGGUGGCAAGCGUUGUCCGGAUUUAUUGGGCGUAAAGCGAGCGCAGGCGGUCAAUUAAGUCUGAUGUGAAAGCCCCCGGCUCAACCGGGGAGGGUCAUUGGAAACUGGUUGACUUGAGUGCAGAAGGGGAGAGUGGAAUUCCAUAUGUAGCGGUGAAAUGCGUAGAUAUAUGGAGGAACACCGGUGGCGAAAGCGGCUCUCUGGUCUGUAACUGACGCUGAGGCUCGAAAGCGUGGGGAGCGAACAGG